RNAcentral lists this ribosomal RNA (253 nucleotides) under uncultured bacterium. RNAcentral describes it as "partial 16S ribosomal RNA". It matches the Rfam family "Bacterial small subunit ribosomal RNA", at positions 524 to 776 of the family's 1533-position model. The record is from RNAcentral.
UACAGAGGGGGCAAGCGUUGUUCGGAAUUACUGGGCGUAAAGGGCGCGUAGGCGGCCUUCUAAGUCGAACGUGAAAUCCCCCGGCUUAACCUGGGAACUGCGUCUGAUACUGGAGGGCUUGAGUGCGGGAGAGGGAUGUGGAAUUCCAGGUGUAGCGGUGAAAUGCGUAGAUAUCUGGAGGAACACCGGUGGCGAAGGCGGCAUCCUGGACCGACACUGACGCUGAGGCGCGAAAGCUAGGGUAGCAAACGGG